GUCCUAUUCUGUUAAUACUGACAAGUAAAAUAACCCGUUCACUGGGUGAAUAUUUCAUUGGUAAUAUUAUUAGCCGGUUUUCAAAACGUGCAACAUUUACUUCCUUUAUCUUAUACCUUUUUGAAAAGAAAUUAGCAUAUUAAAAAAUCAAAUUAUAGAUUCCAUCCAGAUCCUUAACUUAUUUAAAGUUCUAUAUAAUUAUUUCCAAUAAAUUUAGAACAUUCCCAUUUCACUAAAUAACAACAUAUUGG
This 251-nucleotide long non-coding RNA is filed under the name Mytilus galloprovincialis (Mediterranean mussel). The record is from RNAcentral. Lineage: Eukaryota; Metazoa; Mollusca; Bivalvia; Mytilida; Mytilidae.